Long non-coding RNA from Lolium perenne, 869 nucleotides. RefSeq lists it as uncharacterized. Lineage: Eukaryota; Viridiplantae; Streptophyta; Magnoliopsida; Poales; Poaceae. The record is from RefSeq and is a predicted model, not a curated record.
AGGUCGGCCUCGUGGUGCGUCGUCGGCGAGCGCCGCCGCCACCAGGUAGUCCCUGUCGUGCGUCGCUGGCGAGCGACGACGCUACUAGGUCGACGCCGCCGCGACAUCGAGAGAUGCCAGAACCAUUCUCGCCGCCAGAUGUUGUCAUGCCUUCAGAGAAUCAGAAGUGAGGACGAAGGAUAUGAGUUCUAUAACGAGUAUGCAAAGGUCAAAGGGCUCAGUAUUCGCAAGGAGGACGUGAAAUAUUUGCCAGGCACAUGAACUCGGUUCAGGCGGCUUUACGCGGCCUUUAAAGAAGGAUACCGUACAUUGGCAAACAUCGAAAGACCUGAACCAAAAAGAACUCCAAAGGCUCUUACUCGUUGUGGAUGCCCAGCUUGUUUAGAGAUCGAGCUGAGUGUGGCUACCGUGGAAUGGUUCGUGAAGGAUUUUGAGGACAGGCAUAACCAUCCACUCGCUAUGGAAGACCAGUCUGCUUACCUAUUCUCUCACCGCCGGAUGACAGACAGCCAAUGUAGUUGGGUAUGGGAUUAUUGGCCAAAAUGCUGAUGCCAAAGCUUCGCAGUCGGUACCUUUCGCUAAAAUAUCCGAUCACCCACUGUUGCAAAGUGUUGCCCAUAUUUAUACUCCAGUAAUGUUCAAGAUCGUAAGGAGAAGAUCAUGAAAUCUGAUGGAUGGGAGAUUGGUGAGGUGACCCAGGAAGAUGGUAAAGGAGCAGAUCAUGAAAUCUGAUAGAAUAGCUAUGUUGGAAUAAUGCUGAUGGUGUUCUAGUUAAACUGAAUUUAAUUGGAAGAGUGAUUUCAUGAUGCUUGUUAACUUGUUAUCAGAAACUCAUGUGAAAUAGUUUGAAAUAAAAUAUAUUUAUGUGA